AGAGUGGCAGACGGGUGAGUAACACGUGGGAAUCUACCCUUUACUACGGAAUAACGCAUGGAAACGUGUGCUAAUACCGUAUGUGUCCUUCGGGAGAAAGAUUUAUCGGUAAGGGAUGAGCCCGCGUUGGAUUAGCUAGUUGGUGGGGUAAAGGCCUACCAAGGCGACGAUCCAUAGCUGGUCUGAGAGGAUGAUCAGCCACAUUGGGACUGAGACACGGCCCAA
This 225-nucleotide ribosomal RNA is filed under the name uncultured bacterium. Its description in RNAcentral is "partial 16S ribosomal RNA". It matches the Rfam family "Bacterial small subunit ribosomal RNA", at positions 92 to 334 of the family's 1533-position model. The record is from RNAcentral.